Molecule: unclassified non-coding RNA, 238 nt
Filed under: uncultured Clavulina
Lineage: Eukaryota; Fungi; Basidiomycota; Agaricomycetes; Cantharellales; Hydnaceae
Description: sequence contains ITS2
Source: RNAcentral
AAUUUCUCAAACUUGGAUGAUAAUUUUUGUCUGUCCUUAGUUUGGUUGUUGGGCUUUGCCGUGUCCUUCAUUGGGACGGCUGGCCUUAAAAGCAUUAGCUGAUCCUCGUGUGGAACUGGUUCUACUCAGCGUGAUAAUAGUCUGAUCGCUGAGGACAUCUUUCGGGAUGGCCAGUCCCCAGUUGGAUUGCUUCUAACCUUGGUUUUGCAGAUUGUUUGAUCUGUAUUCCAAUUUUCAG